RNAcentral lists this small nucleolar RNA (106 nucleotides) under Gossypium hirsutum (cotton). RNAcentral describes it as "Plant small nucleolar RNA R71". It matches the Rfam family "Plant small nucleolar RNA R71". Rfam says of the family: R71 is a member of the C/D box family of snoRNAs containing the C (UGAUGA) and D (CUGA) box motifs. Multiple nearly identical copies of this snoRNA have been identified in Arabidopsis, and it is thought to function as a 2'-O-ribose methylation guide for 18S ribosomal RNA. The record is from Rfam by way of RNAcentral. Lineage: Eukaryota; Viridiplantae; Streptophyta; Magnoliopsida; Malvales; Malvaceae.
AACCAAUGGUGUGGAGAUUUCUGAAUCAGCAUUUUAAAAUGCUUCCAUGCUUCGUGAAAACUUUCUCCCUCUAAUUGUUUAAACAUGGAAAUUUCUUUUCUUACCU